Molecule: long non-coding RNA, 1126 nt
Organism: Octopus bimaculoides (California two-spot octopus)
Lineage: Eukaryota; Metazoa; Mollusca; Cephalopoda; Octopoda; Octopodidae
Source: RefSeq, a predicted model, not a curated record
AUGACGUAACAUGGAAUAUGUACGUAAUAGAUACAAAGAAAUUCAGAGACAAUGGGUCUACUGAAUUUAUGAAUAAACGAAUAUCACAAACAGAUUCAAUGAUUGUGACACCUACACAAAUGCAGUAUAGAUUUACGGAAACCUAAAUCUGAUAUUGAUGCGGCAUUAUCCGAGAGGUUGAAUAACUGCAAGGCAAACAUUCGGUGGCUCUGAUUUUCAUGGAUGACAUUAAUUGCGGUCAGUCUGAAGUGAGAUACAUUACUGAAAAUAUACGCGUUAUUGUCUGGAUUAUCAGUGAGCAGCUGCUGAGGCACAAGGCCCGAAAUUUUGAAGGAGGGAGGCAAUCGAUAAGAUCGACCCUACUACGCAACUGGUACUUAAUUUAUCGACCCCGAAAAGAUGAAAGGCAAAGUCGACCUCGGCGGAAUUUGAAUUCUCUGUAAAUCUCGAUAUUGCAUUAGAAAAAAGAGAGUCGAAUUGUACAGUGAGUAAGGAAACAAUAUUUCGCGGAGAGGGACGAAAAGCGGCAAAUACACUUCUCUGAACAGACGCGUGAUAAAAGGCAUUCUAGCAAGCCGUUAUGGAUGCCUCUGACAUAUAUAACAUCUAAACACGGAUGUAAUAUUCUGAAAUUAGCCGAUAUGAUUGAAGAGGAUACGGUUUAGAUGAUGAUGCAAAAUUAGAUCGAACACGGGGUGAAGCGAACGCAAUCAGUUUGGAGCGAACUCAUUAUACUGAAAUUAUAAAAAUUCAAACACCAAGCUCGAAAAUGCAAAGAUAAUGUUUUCAAAUAUUGGCAGGCCAGUAAUUUCGAGUGGGUAGGUGUAAGUCGAUUACAUUGACUCCAGUGAUAACUGGUACUUAUUUAUCGACCCCGAAAGGAUGGAUAGCAAAGUCGACCUCAGCGGAAUUUGAACUCAUUAAACGUAAAGACGUAUAAAAUGGCGCUAAUCGUUUUCCCAGCGUGCUGGCGAUUUUGCCAGCUCUCCAUCUGAAGGUAAAAUUGACUUCAGCGGAUUUUAAACACAGAACGAAUUGAAAUAAAAUCCGGACGAAAUGCCGCGAAUCUUCUUGUCCGAUUCAGUAAAUAUUCUGCUAGCUCGCCCGCUUACUUGAUAGAAGAUAA